RNAcentral lists this ribosomal RNA (255 nucleotides) under uncultured bacterium. RNAcentral describes it as "partial 16S ribosomal RNA". It matches the Rfam family "Bacterial small subunit ribosomal RNA", at positions 118 to 352 of the family's 1533-position model. The record is from RNAcentral.
UGAGCGACCUACCUAAUUGUGGGGGAUAGCCGGCCCAACGGCCGGGUAAUACCGCAUACGAUCGGAGAGGGGCAUCCCUUUCUGAGGAAAGCCUUCGGGCGCAAUUUGAGGGGCUCGCGGCCUAUCAGCUAGUUGGCGGGGUAACGGCCCACCAAGGCGACGACGGGUAGCUGGUCUGAGAGGGUGACCGGCCACACGUGGGACUGAGACACGGCCCAGACUCCGUACGGGAGGCAGCGAGGUAGGGGAAUAGUU